UAGAGCCGGAUGAGGGGAGACCCUCACGUCCGGUUCCGCUUGAUUGAGCAUCAAAUCUUACAUCCUUGGGUGGUUAAUUGAAUAAUUUGAU
This 91-nucleotide non-coding RNA is filed under the name Helianthus annuus (common sunflower). Lineage: Eukaryota; Viridiplantae; Streptophyta; Magnoliopsida; Asterales; Asteraceae. The record is from RNAcentral.